GAUGAACGCUGGCGGCGUGCCUAAUACAUGCAAGUCGAGCGAAUGGAUUAAGAGCUUGCUCUUAUGAAGUUAGCGGCGGACGGGUGAGUAACACGUGGGUAACCUGCCCAUAAGACUGGGAUAACUCCGGGAAACCGGGGCUAAUACCGGAUAACAUUUUGAACCGCAUGGUUCGAAAUUGAAAGGCGGCUUCGGCUGUCACUUAUGGAUGGACCCGCGUCGCAUUAGCUAGUUGGUGAGGUAACGGCUCACCAAGGCAACGAUGCGUAGCCGGACUGGGAGGGUGAUCGGCCACGCUGGGACUGAGACACGGCCCAGACUCCUACGGGAGGCGGCAGUAGGGAAUCUUCCGCAAUGGACGAAAGUCUGACGGAGCAACGCCGCGUGAGUGAUGAAGGCUUUCGGGUCGUAAAACUCUGUUGUUAGGGAAGAACAAGUGCUAGUUGAAUAAGCUGGCACCUUGACGGUACCUAACCAGAAAGCCACGGCUAACUACGUGCCAGCCGCCGCAGUAA
Molecule: ribosomal RNA, 515 nt
Filed under: uncultured bacterium
Lineage: Bacteria
Description: partial 16S ribosomal RNA
Rfam family: Bacterial small subunit ribosomal RNA
Source: RNAcentral